UAGUCUUACUUUUUAAUUUAAAGAAUUCUCAUUCCACGUUUCUUUAAAAUCUACAGACACCACAUAUAUUUCUUCUUCUCUUUGCUCUUUAGAACUUUAAAGAACAAUUGCUAUGUUUUCCAGUUGUCCUCACUUGACAAUUGACAUAGAAUACACCUUGAGAUCUUGUUCAAAUGUUAAUUAUUUUUUUUUGUUAACAAGAAUUUGUCAGGCAUCUUUGUUUUCUGAUUUUCUCAACUAUUUUGGUGUUAGACAAGAAGAGUUUGGGGCGGAAAUUGGAGCUCCCCAACAAUAAUGGUGAACUUUUUCAGGGAUUUUGCCUCUUUUUGUAUUUUUCAAGAUAAUUGUUGUUUUUUCGUAUCUAUAUUAUGUGGGAUUGUUUUGCCAUAAUUUUCGUAAUAUUAUCAUAUACUUGCCAUAGACCUCUGAUUCGACAAAGUUGACACACUGUUUAUUCUGUAUUCCGCUUAAUUUUGGGAUAAAAUUAUCCAAGUUGAUUGUGCAGAAGGAAUCCUAUAAUCAAGGGUAUGUUGUUAAUUUUAUGCACCCAACCUGUUUGAUAAUAUGUGCGACUCAGUUUAUUUAGAGUGAUCAUGUUGGCUUUUGCAAUUUCAAGGGUAACUCUUUGUCAUCUCUCUGUUUUGCUCUUGGUUUUUCAGAUUUGAUUUCAUAGUUUUCUGUUUUUCCUCCACUAUCUUUUGACGCUCAAUUUUUCUCAUGCACGUCUCUACAUUUGCCUGUAGAUUUCGCAUAUCUUCAUAUGUUUUUCCCUCAAUUUUCUUUUUAUGUUCAAUUUGCUACCGCCUUUUUCUAGAUUUGUCUGAAUAAAUUUAUAAAGCUUUGAUUUAAAUUUAGUUGUAUGGCUCGAUAGAGUUUGAAUCUGAUAAGUAUCAAAAGCUGUUUUUGGGAUGUACAUUGACAUAAAUAAGGAUAGAAGGUUUUACCUCUUGGUAGAGGGAGUGAUCUACAAACAAGUAGAACGUAGAUAUGAGUUCAGCUUAUUAAUACAAGUCUGCGGGAAGGAUAGGCAUAAAAUCAAGAAGGAAAUGAUUAAUUUAAUACUUCAUAGGAAACAUCCAACUCAACCAUAAAUCUGAAGGGCUGGCCAAUAUUACUUGGUUCAAAUUUUCCUUGAAGAAUUGCCACUACUUGCUCCUGCCACCAUCAUUACAGGUUACAGCGUUGUAUUCUGGCAUGAAAUGGUAUUGAUACACGCGAGCUGUUACUUGUAACUUGCAAUCAGUCUGAGAAAUUCAAUGAUCCAAGAAUCUUGUGUAUAUUACUAAAUUUCUAUUUUUAUUUAUAUUUUUCCAAUUUUAAGCUGUUCCGCUUGAGAUUCAACAGCUAAAAUCAAUUGUACUAAUGUAUCUGUUUUUAAUUUGUUGGGCUGGUGUCAGCACGGGCAUAUUAUGUCUAGUAUAACAAUAAAUGUGAUUAAUAAUUUUUAAUAUGAUACACGCAUACUGCGA
Solanum lycopersicum (tomato) is the source of this 1469-nucleotide long non-coding RNA. RefSeq lists it as uncharacterized. The record is from RefSeq and is a predicted model, not a curated record. NCBI's taxonomy places the organism in Eukaryota, Viridiplantae, Streptophyta, Magnoliopsida, Solanales, Solanaceae.